CCAACGGCUCUUUUAAGAGCCACCACAGUCCACUGGAGAGUUCCU
This 45-nucleotide non-coding RNA is filed under the name Xyrichtys novacula (pearly razorfish). It matches the Rfam family "Histone 3' UTR stem-loop". Rfam says of the family: The mRNAs of metazoan histone genes lack a poly-A tail. 3' end processing occurs at a site between a highly conserved stem-loop (modelled by this family) and a purine rich region around 20 nts downstream (the histone downstream element, or HDE). The stem-loop is bound by a 31 kDa stem-loop binding protein (SLBP - also termed the histone hairpin binding protein, or HBP). Lineage: Eukaryota; Metazoa; Chordata; Actinopteri; Labriformes; Labridae. The record is from RNAcentral.